AACCACACGACGUACAACCUAUCAAAGUGAAGCCCCGAUUGUCUUCUUUCUAUAGAGACUAAGUUCAUCCGGAUCGGAGAUCUGUGCCGGGAGAUAUCGCUGUUUCCGUGUCGGGUGUCAAGAUCUGCUUUGUUGCUAAGGUGAGGAUUAGAUCUAGGUUCUUCUUCUUAUUCUUUUAUCUUCUUCUGGUGUGGGAAGUCUAGAUCUGAUAAGUCUAGGUUGUUUUCAUGUGCAUCUAGAUAGAUCCAUGUAUAUAUAUAUAUAAUUAAUAUGAAUUAGGACUCUCAUUAGAGGAAGCACCAGCAUACCUAAUUGUUCAUCCUGCUUUGUGGUUAGUGUUUGGUAAAAAUAGCUAGAUCAGGUGUUCGUCUCGGUGGAGGUGUGCCGAGGUACGGAUUGAUUGCUAGAUUAGUGCCGUCUGUGUGACUGUGGCAUUAAUUCAUCGUCAGGUGGUUAGACGAACAACCAUGCCUGUCUUUGUGACCUGGCAUAGCCUGUCUGUAUGACCUAGCAAUGUUGAGUCUGUCUGUGUGACCUGGUGCCUGUCUUUGUGACCUGGCGAUGUAGAGCCUGUCUGUGUGAUCUGGCGGAGCCUGUCCGUGUGACCUGGCAAGAUUGGACACGCCUCUUUGAUAGUUGUUUGUGCACUUCUAGAGUGCUUGUUUGUUGCUUAUUGGGUUUAUACUUGUCAUAUUGGUUGGAAAUGAUCGAGUGGGAAGAGUGCCUGGUUUGGUUCUCACCGAGUAAUUUCCCCAUAUUACUCACCCCUCUCUUCUAAAUCCAUAUUGCAGGUGAGUCUAAUGAAUGUGAUUGUGAUGAUGUUUGGGAAGAACUAGACGAGUAGCUCUAGUGUGGUGUGUCUUCAGAGAUGGAGGAAGUUUUAUUUGUUUUAAGAACUAUUUCAUAUUUUCUUUUAAGACAAUGUUUUCUAUUUUAUUCGAAUUCAUUUUCAGUAUUUCAUUUUUAAUUGUAAGACUUGGAUUUGAGUUUGGGUUUUGGAAUAAGAAUAAGAUGUUAUUCAGAAUUUAUUGGUUUAAAAUAGCUAAUACCAUCAGUUUAGCCUGGUUUCCUUCGGAACCCAGGGUCGGGGUGUUACAGUUAUCGAAAGAACUAAUUGGACUAUCGAUUAUAAAUCUCAUAUGAAAUCUUAAAGUGCCAAAAAGGAUGAAAUUUUCCAAAAUAAAAGAAAUCAAAAUUUUUACUUGAAUCAUUCAACAUUUUAUACUUUUUAAAUUAUAACAUAUACCAAUGAUUUACUAUGUGAAAACAAAACCAAAAUUCAAGUACUUUUACUAGGAUUUUAUUCAUAAUUAACUAUGAUGAAUGCUUUAAUCAGUUAUAAUAUUUACUUCUUUCAAACGCUAUCACGAUUAAUAUGAAUUUAGUGUUUAUAAUUUGUUUUUCUAACAUCUUUAAGCUAAUCAUACCAGUUUUCUAUAAAGUACAAAUAACUUUAAGAAAAUGUUUAACCCUUAUUACACAUGAAGAUAUUUUAUUAUUCUAAUAAUUUCAUGUAUAGGAGAUGAUCUAAUUACGGAAAAAAUUAACUUUAUUUGCUGCCAAUAAUGCUCAUUAAUUUAUGUUGAUAAAGUAAUGAGGUGUGACGUCUGAUUAAAAGAAAAAAAAGAAAAAAAAAAGAGAUAACAAAAGCAUAGUAAAAGGUCAAACCUAUUAAAAUCAUAAGAUUUUAAGUCUUUCAAGUGCUAUAAUCCAGAAAAAAUGGAGCCUCCUACAUGCCCGGGACACGGCACAGCUUUCAAUAACAUUUACUGAAGGGAUUAAAAUCUCAUUCACCUGUUUGGUUAUUGCUGAUCGAUGUUUUUAAUGGUUUUAUUCUGUUUUUAUUAGUAUAGAAUUAGAAUUACUCUAUGAUUUACUCUACUUUAUUAUAGAAAUAUCUUUUUCAAAAAUAGAGAAAAUGUUGGCUCCAGUAAUUUUCCAUCGGGAUAAAUAAUUCUAUUGAGAAGGCGAAUCCCGUGAAGCAAUGUAUAGUAGAUUAGUCAUUGACAAUUAGACAUAAAAGCAUGUUACUAAGAAGGGGUUUUUACUAAAAAUAACCUAAAACUUAAUUUUGAAUACAAAAGUAGAUCCCUAAAAAAAUAUUUGGCAAAAAUAACCUAAAAGAGUAGUGAAAAGAACAUUUAAUCCUGUAUGACCAAACAAAAAAUGGAUGUCCUAAUUACCAUUUAAACUCUGACGAAAUUACUAAAGAGUGGAAGAAGUCUACUAGUAGACUUUGUUCAAACGAAAUGAAGUCUACUAAAUAAUUAAAUCAGAAAAUUUAAUUUUAAAAUUUAUAAAAAAUUAUUUUGGUAUCAAAAUUACAUUCAUAAAUUCCGUAAUUGUAAUCCAAAUGUAUAUAAAAUGUUUUUUUAUAUUGAUAAAUUUAAAUUUAUGUUUUUAAAUUAGGAAGAAGAAAAUCUAUUAUUUUAGAAUUUAAACUUAAUAGACUUCAAUAUUGAAAUCUGCUAAACCGAAUAAAUUAACAUAACUAAAAUUUAAAUCGAAAUUGAACAAAAAAUUUAUUAACCUAACCGGAAAUUUUAUCCUCAUAUGUAAACACAAUAACCUAAUUUUUAGUACAAAAAAACUCAUGACUCUCUCUUUCAAACGGCGCUCUGCUCAAGUUACCCACUGCUGCCUCUCUCACCAUUCUCCGACCGACUCGCGAAUCAGAUCUGAGGUCCAAGGCGCUAAUCAGAUCUGAAGUCCGAGGAAGACGAAGAAAUGAUGUCUCAGCUUGCUUCUUAUUUUUCGUCCUAGGCGCUAACCAGAUCUGCCUAGUUUCUUAUUUUUCACUUUCUGUCUCAAUAUUUGCAAUGACUUUAAUCGAUAUGUGAGGCAGGUAUGUUUUAUCGAUAUGCAUGGGUCUAAUCGAUAUGCACUUUCUUUGAAAAUUGAUGCUUUAUGCAGCAAUCCUGUUUCGUACUAGAGAUCAAUGCCGGCAAGCUUUCUAUAUUAUUUUCCUUCUUUUCAUCUCUCGCAUGAUAAUUCUUUUACAUGUCCACGCUAGGUCAUGGAAGUGCUUAUGUCAUUGCAAGGGUCUGAGAUGGAGGCAGAUGAUCCAAUAACGAGUUACAUGUUACAG
Molecule: long non-coding RNA, 3088 nt
Filed under: Eutrema salsugineum
Lineage: Eukaryota; Viridiplantae; Streptophyta; Magnoliopsida; Brassicales; Brassicaceae
Description: long non-coding RNA (ESAL_LNC001834)
Source: RNAcentral